GUACAGCACAUAUACUAAAACUGGAACGAUAAAGAUUAGCAUGCCCUGUGCAAGGAAGACACGCAAAUUCAUGAAGUGUUCCAUAUUAAA
This is a small nuclear RNA of Ailuropoda melanoleuca (giant panda), 90 nucleotides long. Lineage: Eukaryota; Metazoa; Chordata; Mammalia; Carnivora; Ursidae. The record is from Ensembl.